UGCCAGCAGCCGCGGUAAUACGGAGGGUGCUAGCGUUGUUCGGAAUUACUGGGCGUAAAGCGCGCGUAGGCGGUGUAGCAAGUUGAGAGUGAAAUCCCGGAGCUGAACUCCGGAACUGCUCUCAAAACUGUUACACUAGAGUAUGGUAGGGGACAGUGGAAUUCCUAGUGUAGAGGUGAAAUUCGUAGAUAUUAGGAGGAACACCAGAGGCGAAGGCGACUGUCUGGACCAUUACUGACGCUAAGGCGCGAAAGCGUAAAGAGCAAACAGGAUUAGAUA
RNAcentral lists this ribosomal RNA (279 nucleotides) under uncultured bacterium. RNAcentral's name for it is "partial 16S ribosomal RNA". It matches the Rfam family "Bacterial small subunit ribosomal RNA", at positions 506 to 784 of the family's 1533-position model. The record is from RNAcentral.